Molecule: transfer RNA, 70 nt
Filed under: Podarcis lilfordi (Lilford's wall lizard)
Lineage: Eukaryota; Metazoa; Chordata; Lepidosauria; Squamata; Lacertidae
Description: tRNA.Ala
Rfam family: tRNA (bases 6-63)
About the family: Transfer RNA (tRNA) molecules are approximately 80 nucleotides in length.
Source: RNAcentral
GGGCCUAGCUCAGGGGUAGAGCAUCUGCUUUGCAUGCAGAAGGUCGCAGGUUCAAUUCCUGGCAUCUCCC